AGCGGCGGACGGGUGAGUAAUGCUUGGGAAUAUGCCUUUGAGUGGGGGACAACAGUUGGAAACGACUGCUAAUACCGCAUAACGUCUACGGACCAAAGGGGGGGAUGCUUCGGCACCUCGCUCAUUGAUUAGCCCAAGUGAGAUUAGCUAGUUGGUAAGGUAAUGGCUUACCAAGGCGACGAUCUCUAGCUGGUUUGAGAGGAUGAUCAGCCACACUGGGACUGAGACACGGCCCAGACUCCUACGGGAGGCAGCAGUGGGGAAUAUUGCACAAUGGGCGAAAGCCUGAUGCAGCCAUGCCGCGUGUGUGAAGAAGGCCUUCGGGUUGUAAAGCACUUUCAGCGAGGAGGAAAGGUUAGUAGUUAAUAACUGCUAGCUGUGACGUUACUCGCAAAAGAAGCACCGGCUAACUUCGUGCCAGCAGCCGCGGUAAUACGAGGGGUGCAAGCGUUAAUCGGAAUUACUGGGCGUAAAGCGUGCGUAGGUGGUUUGUUAAGCAAGAUGUGAAAGCCCCGGGCUCAACCUGGGAACUGCAUUUUGAACUGGCAAACUAGAGUAUUGUAGAGGGUAGUGGAAUUUCCAGUGUAGCGGUGAAAUGCGUAGAGAUUGGAAGGAACAUCAGUGGCGAAGGCGGCUACCUGGACAAAUACUGACACUGAGGCACGAAAGCGUGGGAAGCAAACAGGAUUAGAUACCCUGGUAGUCCACGCCGA
Molecule: ribosomal RNA, 713 nt
Filed under: uncultured bacterium
Lineage: Bacteria
Description: bacterial SSU rRNA
Rfam family: Bacterial small subunit ribosomal RNA
Source: RNAcentral